Molecule: ribosomal RNA, 400 nt
Filed under: uncultured bacterium
Lineage: Bacteria
Description: bacterial SSU rRNA
Rfam family: Bacterial small subunit ribosomal RNA
Source: RNAcentral
UAGGGAAUUUUCCACAAUGGGCGAGAGCCUGAUGGAGCAACGCCGCGUGCAGGAUGAAGGCCUUCGGGUUGUAAACUGCUUUUAUAGGUGAAGAUUAUGACGGUAACUUAUGAAUAAGGAUCGGCUAACUCCGUGCCAGCAGCCGCGGUCAUACGGAGGAUCCAAGCGUUAUCCGGAAUUACUGGGCGUAAAGAGUUGCGUAGGCGGUUAAACAAGUGAGUAGUGAAACUGUGGGGCUCAACCCUGCACCCAUUAUUCAAACUGUUUUGACUAGAGAGUGGAAGAGGUCGCUAGAAUUCCUAGUGUAGGGGUGAAAUCCGUAGAUAUUAGGAGGAAUACCAAUGGCGUAGGCAGGCGACUGGUCCAUUUCUGACGCUGAGGCACGAAAGCGUGGGGAGCG